UGGGGAAUUUUGGACAAUGGGCGAAAGCCUGAUCCAGCAAUGCCGCGUGUGUGAAGAAGGCCUUCGGGUUGUAAAGCACUUUUGUCCGGAAAGAAAUCCUUGGCUCUAAUACAGUCGGGGGAUGACGGUACCGGAAGAAUAAGCACCGGCUAACUACGUGCCAGCAGCCGCGGUAAUACGUAGGGUGCAAGCGUUAAUCGGAAUUACUGGGCGUAAAGCGUGCGCAGGCGGUUUGCUAAGACCGAUGUGAAAUCCCCGGGCUCAACCUGGGAACUGCAUUGGUGACUGGCAGGCUAGAGUAUGGCAGAGGGGGGUAGAAUUCCACGUGUAGCAGUGAAAUGCGUAGAGAUGUGGAGGAAUACCGAUGGCGAAGGCAGCCCCCUGGGCCAAUACUGACGCUCAUGCACGAAAGCGUGGGGAGCAAACAGGAUUAGAUACCCUGGUAGUCCACGCCCUAAACGAUGUCAACUAGUUGUUGGGGACUUCAUUUCCUUAGUAACGUAGCUAACGCGUGAAGUUGACCGCCUGGGGGAGUACGGUCGCAAGAUUAAAACUCAAAUGAAUUGACGGGGUCAUAGCUGUUUCC
This 586-nucleotide ribosomal RNA is filed under the name uncultured bacterium. RNAcentral's name for it is "partial 16S ribosomal RNA". It matches the Rfam family "Bacterial small subunit ribosomal RNA", at positions 355 to 937 of the family's 1533-position model. The record is from RNAcentral.